AGUCCAUCGGGGCUGGGCGCAAGGGAAACUUACCUCAGCUGGUUCGCGCGGAAGCGUUAUUGUGCUCGGCGGCAGCGGUUGUCGGCGGUUGUGGGGUGAGAAGCGGCUGGCGCGGCGCCGCUGUAGGAUAUGAAAGAUGGCAAGUCCAGAUAGAAGUAAACGGAAGAUUUUAAAAGCAAGAAAAACAAUGCCUGCAAGUUGCCGGAAGCAAGCAGAGAUCCUGAAUAAGUCAAAGAAUGUUGAAGCACUAAAAACAGCAGCAAUUGGGAAUAAUGUGUCAAGUAGUAAUCAGAAUUCAAGUACUGAUGUCAUAAGUAGCAAAUGUAGACAUUCUGAAAAUGAUGCUUCCUCUUUGGACUCUAUAAAAAAUUCAGUAUGUGCACCAAAAAGUAAAGUAUUUUCUCAGAACUUAAUAAAACCACUAGAAAUUGUUGAUUCGAAAACAAGAUUAGAAUACACUGAAGAACAAGUUGUGUACCCUUAUGAAAAGCCAAGUAAAACAGUAGAAUCUCCCAGGAAACUCUUCACACAAGACGCAAAAGAUUCACAAAACACUUCUGAAAGCCAUUUUGAAUGUCAGGCAAGUGUAACACGAUCCAUUUUUGAACAUGAAGAGGAUUGUAAUCUGAAAUCCAUUUGCUGUCCAUCCAGUGUAUUGAGUGGUGUAGUUCAGAUGUCAAAGUCUACAAUAACCAAUACCUUGGAUGAUAAGAGAACUGACAAGAUAGUUUCCUAUUUAGAAACAAACUCCAAUUCUGAGUUUCGUGAUAAAAGACAAAAUAACACUUUAACUUUAAAUUCAGAUAUCCCUUUUGUGCCUGUUGAUAAAAUACCUAACUUGGUAAAUUCAGUCAUUUCUAGUAACUGUGCUGCUGACAUUUUGAAAAGUGAAGAAUCCUGUAGAACCUGUCAUUCCAGCAUUUUAAGUUGUGAAAGUACAGAUGCAAAGUGGCUGUCCUCAUUUGACACUGAUAGUAAUAACAGCCAUAAUCAAAAGAAGAGGACGUUUUCAGAACACAAAGAAAAUGUUAAGCGUGUGAAAACUUCAGAGCAAGUUAAUGAAAAUAUUUCUCUAGCUCUGGGAAAGCAAACAGCAUUGCUGGAACAGGUCGGACAUUUGAUUCGACAGGAGAUCUGUAGUAUAAAUUACAAACUAUUUGAUAACAAACUGAAAGAAUUGACUGAACGCAUUGGGAAGACACAGUGCAGGAGUAAACAUGAAGCAAUAGCUGAUGAACUCUUUACAAAAAUAAAAAAACUUCAAAGACGUAUUAGAACAGUAAUGUUAUCUCGAAGGAAUUGUGUGGAACCAAACGUGGUAUCCAGCAAUACAGCUUGUAAGGUUGCAAAUUCAGAGACUAUGAAUUUGGAUAAGAAUCCAGAGUCAGUUAAUAGUCCACAGGAAAGAAAAACUUCUGUGAACGCUGAACCUUCUAACCCUUCAGAAAAAGCAAGUGAAAAGAUUAAUUUGUCACGGGAACAUAAUGAGGCUGUUUCUGAAAGUAAAGAUGAUAUCAUGUUGAUUUCUGUGGAAAGUCCUAAUUUGACAACUCCAAUUACAUCAGAUCCAACAGAUACUGGAAAAAUUACAUCAGGAAAUUCUAACAAUUCACCUGAUGCUGAAACUGAAGCUAUGGCUAAAGAGAAGAAACUUGAUUCUGUGAUUGAUCUAACGAAAGAAGGCCUGUCACACUGCAACACAGCUCCCAGGGGCUCAGCUUUGGAUUUGGCCCCGCCUCUGCAUGUAGGUCGCCGGAGUGCGUCUGUUCUUCGCUCAGACAGGACGGGGUUAAAGGAGCAGCUGAUUCAGGGGCUCUGGUUCGCUCAGGCCAGGGGGAGGGUGGUCCAUGGAGUGUGGGGGGAACCUGCGGCAGCAGAGACCGGCGUGACAUUGCACCAGCCUGAGGAAACAAAGAGGGAAGUAAAAGUCUCUUGCCUCUUCGGCAGGUCCAGACUUUUCCCAGAUUCCCUCCCAGCUAGCCGUGGUGCACUAACCCCCUGCGGGCUGUGUUCACACCGCAAACCCCAGCCCUCUCCCUGGGCUCUGACCGAAGCCCGAGCCUCAGCUCCCAGCCCCGCCCGCCCCAGCAGAACUUCUGCUGCCAGUGUCCUUGUCUCCACGGUGAGCCACAGCCACCCCCCGCCUCUGCAGGAGACCCUCCAACACUAGCAGGUAGGUCUGGUUCAGUCUCCUGUGGGGUCACUGCUCCUUCCUCUGGGUCCUGAUGUGCACACUACUUUGUGUGUGCCCUCCAAGAGGGGAGUCUCUGUUUCCCCCAGUCCUGUCGAAUUCUGCAGUCAAAUCCCACUAGCCUUCAAAGUGUGAUUCUCAAGGAAUUCCUCCCCCCAUUGCCAGACCCCCAGGUUGGGAAGCUGGACAUGGGGCUCAGACCCUUCACUCCAGUGGAUGGUCUCCUAUGGUAUAAUUGUUCUCCAGUUUGUGAGUCACCACCUAGCGGUUAUGAGAUUUGAUUUUAUUGUGAUUGCGCCCCUCCUACCGCCUCACUGCGGCUUCUCCUUUGUCUUUGGAUGUGGGGGUAUCUUUUUUGGUGAGUUCCAGUGUCUUCCUGUCAAUGAGUGUUCAGCAGUUAGUUGUGGUUCUGCUGCUCUCGCAAGAGGGAGUGAGCACACAUCCUUUUACUCUGCCAUUUUGAACCAAUCUCUCAUGCAUCGAUUCUCUUACAAUUAAAAGCGUAAAAUCAUUACCUUUACAAAAACGUAUUUUAACACCAGUAAAUAAAGCGAUUAAUAAGUUAUCUUUGAAACAGUGUAGAAUCUCAAUUAUCCUUGUCAGUUAAAAGAAAAAUACAAGUAAAAAAUUUUAUUGGGGGAGAUUCUUAAAGUACGUUAAACAGUUAUAUCACUGCACACACAGUGGAUUAAAAAUGAUUUUUGCUGCUUAUUAGAUAUGUUCAAACUUCUGAAAUUUUUAGCUGUCUGGUCCUAUUACUUUCCAACAUGGAGGCACUUUUCUUACUAUCCCCAUGAUACUUUCCCCAGUUGUCCUCAAACCAUUCUUGUGCCUACUAAACCUUCUUUCUCUCCCUCACACCCACAUUUUCUCUAUUUUCCUCCUUUUCUUCUUCUAACCAUCUCUCUUUCUUCCAUUCUCUCUUCUGUCUCUCCUCCCUCCCCCUCCCUUUCAGCAGUCCACAAUUGAUGUCUAAUUCCCUCUAGGCUACCAUGGGAUACCUCCAACCCCAGCCUGCAUGAGUUUUAGUUUGAAUUCCCAGGCCUUGUUUGUAUCACACAUUCUUAUAGGAUUGUAAACAGUUCUGUGUUUGCAAACAUCCUUGUUGACCUAACAGAGCAAAAUCUGCCUCUAAGACUGCUAAGCAGGAAUCCCUCUACCAUGGGUAAUUUUUCCUAGUUCCCAGUUGCAUCAUGACAUCAGUGUUUACCUUGAGGAAUUUUUGUCACAUUAAAGAAAAAUUCUCUAUAUUUGAUACCUUUGCAUAUCAAAAGUUAUCUUCUUAUUUCACAGUUUUAUAAUUUUAGUUCACAUUUAAUUACUACCCAAGAUGUAAACUACUGUUUGCUUUAAAGGCUAUGGGACUGAUUAUUGUAGAUACAUUUUACUUUUAAACCUUCUGUUGUUCACAGAAAGUCCAGUAUCCAUGCUUGAGUCACCUACGAAAGCUAUUUCAAUCUCAAAAGAGACAACCCCAGAGGCACAAAAUGCAGCCCAGGUUCUUGAAUCCUUUGAGCACCUGCCACCUCUCCCAGAACUACCACCACUACUACCCGAACUGG
Orcinus orca (killer whale) is the source of this 3753-nucleotide RNA transcript. It is a transcript of the gene named activating transcription factor 7 interacting protein 2, with no coding region annotated. The transcript has 13 exons. The record is from RefSeq and is a predicted model, not a curated record. NCBI's taxonomy places the organism in Eukaryota, Metazoa, Chordata, Mammalia, Artiodactyla, Delphinidae.